CUUUUCCUUUCUUUCCGAAAUGCACCUAUGACAGUAGCUAGACCUAUAGUUGUCAACAAUGUACGUAUUAUAAUAUGUCUAAUCCAAAAAUAGAUAAUAAUUGCACUGUUUAUUUUAGAAAAACAGCACCAAUUACAGGUGUAUAAAGGAAUAGCAUCACCCAAUAGAGUGUAGACAGCAACCCACAUAAAUAUUAUUUACUCGCAAUAUUGCUGAUUUCAUACACACUUUCCUCGCUAUAUUUGGGUAUUUACAUUGCUAUAUGUCAAUUGGAUCACGCGCUCGUCCUUUUCCAUAACCGGUAAGAAGACUCGGACGUGGAUUGGCGCAAGGAUUGCAUCAAAUCGAUACAUUUCUUCGUUGGAAGUGCGCCUGUGGAUGAGAUUAAAAAGCCAGAACUGAAUCCCUGUAUAAUGUGUUAUUUAUAUUUUCGCCACAGAUUCAGUUUUGGUAUCAUUAACGUCUUAUUUAGUGUUGCAAAAUUGGGAAAAUUUCAAAAUCGAUCAUAAGUGGAAGAACUGUUUCGAUCAAUGAUCGAUAUAAUCAGUAUUUACAUGUAGUUAAUAAUGUUUAUUAUUUUUGGAGUUAUUUCUAUUUAGUUUUAUGGAUAUGUGCAGUAAAUACACAUUAGCUGGUGUCACUGAAUUCCCAAUUUUCAAUGUGGAGUCCGAUUCGUGUUAAAGUAUGAAAUAAAAAGACGUAUCUUUAUAGAGUUAAAAGUGUAAAUUUUUGUACAAUUACACACACCACACACAACAAAAUGCACAAUGAAAAUAAAAUGUGAUAAUAUAUUUAUAUAUAAUAUUGGGGGGGGCAAGUUGUCUCAAGAAAAGGGGCGACUUGUCCUGAGAGAGGGCGAAUGAGGAACCGGAGUCGGUUAUCUUAUCUUGUAUUGAUAGAGAGCGCCACAGGCAAAUCCGGCCCUGAACAAAAAAAAAAGAUAAAUGUUGAGAAGAUGGGUUAUCAGCAACCAUUCUCGAAUGCGAUUUCAGAAAACACAAACACUACCUUUUACUUACGAUGGCAUCCAGUUGUGGUCAUAUGACAAUACCUGAACUUAGGAAAGAGUUAGAAAAGUUUGGAGCAAAGAAAUUGGGAAGAAAGUGGUAACUUGUAAGAAGACUUAAUUGAAGCAUAUAGAAGAAAUGAACAUCGUGCAAGGACCGAUAUUUCUGGACCUUAAUUUAUUAUGAUGUCACCCGAUCCACAACUCUACAGGGAUCUUCAUUGUGAUAAGAGCUUUUCAAAUGAAAAGGAAUGACAAAUUCAUUGACGAGAUGAAGAGAAAUUUUAAUGAAUUUUAUGAAAGAUAUUUUAAGUCUGCUCUGUUAGAGAAAACGUUUUUCAAGACAUACGAUGGUAAAUGUACAUGGAAUAAAUGUUUAAAAAAUUAAAUAAA
Molecule: long non-coding RNA, 1399 nt
Organism: Ostrea edulis (European flat oyster)
Lineage: Eukaryota; Metazoa; Mollusca; Bivalvia; Ostreida; Ostreidae
Exons: 2
Source: RefSeq, a predicted model, not a curated record